UUGAACGCAUUAUGACCACCCAAAUUAUUAUGACCAUUAUUACGAUGAUGGGGCGGGCUAGUGCGUAAAUAACAGGACAACAAAAACCCGCAUUCACUAAAAAAUGCGGGUUUUUUUAUG
Non-coding RNA from Haemophilus pittmaniae HK 85, 120 nucleotides. The record is from Rfam. NCBI's taxonomy places the organism in Bacteria, Pseudomonadati, Pseudomonadota, Gammaproteobacteria, Pasteurellales, Pasteurellaceae.